UUGAUGGAUAGUUUACCAAAUUAGAGAUAGAGCCAACGAAUGGUUGUUGAGAGUUGAAGGCAGGUUUGUACCUAUGUGGUAUCCGAAAAUUAACCAAAUAAUUAUCAUCAUCAUUAGACCAGAGUUUAAUCACAAUAUUCUAAAGGUAAAAAAAAAAGCAAUGUAUAAGGGUAAGGUAGGCGAAAGCAUCACGUACAAAACAAAGAAGAUGGCUGUGUUUCGGGUUGUUGCACCGUGUAGUCUGGUGAACACAGAAGAAAUCCAUCUUCAUACUCACCUCCGUCUUUAAGAUUCAUGAAAGUACCCACCCGAUUUGUAAUGACGUCUGGACCAUAAUUCAUUAGGAUCAAUACCUGUUGGUGACUGGUUCACAUUUUUGGAGAAGGGUAUAAAGCUGUUUGGUUGAGCUGGUAAUCUGUCCGCGAGUGCUGGAUGAAGCAUAUAAUUUCUGGCAUCGAAAGGGAAAAGAAGGUGAAUGUCAGCAAGAAGUUCAAGAUGUCUGCCGUCUACUAUAGUUCUUCACCUUCCAGGUUUUCAGAAUAAAUUACAAUAAUUUAGAAAGGAUUCGUUCACUCUCACAUAAUUUUGACAAAUUUCGUUUUAGGCCGUAAGAUGUUUCAAAAUAUAAAUAGCUGGGCAAUUUGGAAAGGAGCACAUUUCUAGAACAGUCGCAGGUUAAGAGCACUUUCCUGAUAAUGUGCGAUACCCACAUUUUAAGAUUUUGCAUUUGCCUGUAGUUGGGGGAUGGGAAUUUAUGUAAGGGAAUUGUUUAGUAUGAACUGUAUGUUGUAUGGUACGUUUUAAAGGCACGUGUGAGGUUGGGAAUAGAGAUAAUAUUUGUGUGAUUCAUAACAACAUAGGAAGUAAAAAUUUCAAACAAACGCAGAGUUAAAGAUUCUUAAUUCGCAUUCAUUUUAUUUUGGCACUCAAAACAAAUCCGAAAAUAUAGUUGGUGCACACUGGAUAGGGGAGUGAAAGACAUUCAGACACAUGAGUAUUGUAACUACAUAAACCAGUGAACAGGAAAUGCAAAUAUUAUUAAAACUAUUUUUAGUGUUAUAAUGGAUACUAGAAUGUGUGGAACUUUCUCUCCAUUUCCUUUAUGCCUUCAUGAGUGACUUGUAUGUCCAGGGGCAACUUAACCUUUCUUGUAAAACUGUUUCAGAAUAGUUAUAAGUUGAAUAUGAAAAUUUUGGAGUUACAGAGUGCUAACACUACAGAAGGUAAAUUAAGAAAUUAUAGAAUAUUCUGUUGGGACAGAUGUAUUUAAGUCUUUCCUCAUUGUACUGUACAAUCUGUCUCAUAACCUGUAAUGCAUUUUAGAAGUGAUGAACCAACAGAAAGAGCACAUCAUUAUCCAAAGUACAGCAGUGUGAAAAUCUUAGUUUGUAUUUACUGUACAGGCUUUAAUACUGUAAUCUUACUUAGAAACAGAAUUAUGGCAAUUUUUAAGUAGGUUUUUGCAUCAUGGAUGUGUGGUCUGGAGACAUUAUUAUCCCCCCGGUCCUUUGCGCUUAACUUGCAGUACGUGAUCAGCCAUGGUAUUGUGUGAAUGUGCCAUAAAUAUUGCAUUGCAGCUAUUGAUGAAGUAUAAAAUCAAAAUAACUGGACCUUUCAUGCAUCUUUUGAGUAAGACUAGCUUAUGUUUAAUUCCAGAUGUACCUAAUAGGAAAAUUCUUUUCAGUAGUUUCCAAAACAGCCUGAAAUGAGUUGCCUUUAGACCAGUUAGGGCCACAGUUCUAGCAAAUUUUGUAAAUCAUGUUAGAAAAUCCAUUUCAUUAAAAUCUUCAAUUUCAGAAACAAAACAUUACAUAGACUGAACAACUAUAAUUUGGCAUCACUUAUAUGUAUAGGGUCUACAAGCUCACAAAAUGUAAUAGAAAUUAAAAGGGAUUGGGUUGAAAAUCUUGUUGUUUUGACGUGGAGUGGCAGUCUGCAUGCACAGCUUUUACAGGGGCUGUGCAGAAUUCUGCAUGUGCUUUAAAGGUAGGAAUGAGACUGGAUAGGUACUUUAAAUUCUGAAUGGCACUGCUGGUUACAGUGAAUGCUGUGAAUAGGAACUGACUUGCAACUAAUGAGCAGGCAGAUUGUUGUUUUCUGUGUUAGUUGGUAGGGACACUGCUACCACAAUGAUUCUGAAACAUCCACUAUGCAGUUAAUGGUUGUACUCGUGAUGCUUUGAAAUAAAGUGACUGUCUUAAU
Non-coding RNA from Zootermopsis nevadensis, 2202 nucleotides. Lineage: Eukaryota; Metazoa; Arthropoda; Insecta; Blattodea; Termopsidae. The record is from RefSeq and is a predicted model, not a curated record.